GAUGAACGCUGGCGGCGUGCUUAACACAUGCAAGUCGAACGGGAUCCAUCAGGCUUUGCUUGGUGGUGAGAGUGGCGAACGGGUGAGUAAUGCGUGACCGACCUGCCCCAUACACCGGAAUAGCUCCUGGAAACGGGUGGUAAUGCCGGAUGCUCCAGUUGAUCGCAUGGUCUUCUGGGAAAGCUUUCGCGGUAUGGGAUGGGGUCGCGUCCUAUCAGCUUGACGGCGGGGUAACGGCCCACCGUGGCUUCGACGGGUAGCCGGCCUGAGAGGGCGACCGGCCACAUUGGGACUGAGAUACGGCCCAGACUCCUACGGGAGGCAGCAGUGGGGAAUAUUGCACAAUGGGCGCAAGCCUGAUGCAGCGACGCCGCGUGAGGGAUGGAGGCCCUCGGGUUGUAAACCUCUUUUAUCGGGGAGCAAGCGAGAGUGAGU
RNAcentral lists this ribosomal RNA (435 nucleotides) under uncultured bacterium. RNAcentral describes it as "bacterial SSU rRNA". It matches the Rfam family "Bacterial small subunit ribosomal RNA", at positions 28 to 461 of the family's 1533-position model. The record is from RNAcentral.